AGCCAUUCUUUGCUUCUAUCCAAAAGAUGUGGGAUCAUAAAACAUGGCUGAGUGGGUGUAUGAGCUGCAGUUUUCUUCACCCCACACAUCUCUCUCUCCAUGCAGGCUGGUAUAGGAAACAAGGUUUAGCAGGCAACUAGAAAAGGGGGAAAUGUUCAUUUCUGAGAUGUUUUCCUGUAUUUCAAGACUGGCUUCACUUUGGCCCUGGUACCAGGAGAUGCCUGCCCAAAAUGCCUCCUGUUCCACUUCUCUAAGUCUACUAGCAACAUUUCAUGAAGUUUCACCCCCUUCCUUUAAUCUGCGUCAGGGAUGAAGUGUUUGACCCACAUGGGCCAUUCAACAACACAGCUGUCUGACUGCAACUCCACAUUGGACCCCUGAAUCCAAGGUGAGCAGGAGCAAUAUAAAUUGUGCAAGAUUUGUAGAGGUGAGCUUAGAUUUUAAUGGAAUCUGACAAAAAUGGAGGAAAUGGUCACAAGUAGUCACAAUUCCUAAGAAACUUGGGAAGGGUGCCUGCAAGCCUUACCUUGAAUGAGCUUUCUUAAGUGUUAUGCCUACAGAUGGAAUUCCAAAUUAUCAGUGGCUUCAAAAUUAUAUUUAUUCCUCAGGAGAUGAGCAUGGUGUCACUCUCAAGAUGGGCGGUGCUUAUAUGCAAAAUUAGCAUGCCAUAUGGAUAUAAGAAUUAGCAUGCUUAUAUGCAGAAUUAGUGUGCCACUGAAUUAGCAUAGCUGAGGCUUGUAACAAUUCCUUUGGUCAUCUCUCCUCAACUCAGGUGUGGCUGAGGUGAGUGCUUGCAUUCUCAAUUCUGUUCUAGUCACUCCAACAAGGGGCCAAGAGAGGGUAGUCUGCACCCCACCUCAGUCCCUCAGAAAUCCAGUAGAGUUGGGCUGUAUAAGAAAGUCUAGAUGUAACAGGUAUGAUAAAAUCACGUGUUGACUGAAGUGUAUUUGUGAUGUUUAGCUAAACGCAGCUUAUAUACAUGCCAAUUCCCCCACUGUCUGAGCCAGCCAAUGAAUUUGUGGGCAAACCCUAGGAUUGCCCGGGUAGGGCAGGGGGAGUUCAGGAAAGCCAGUACAGAAUAGGAAGAUACCACUAUUUUUAAAAUCAGUAUUUGGCAGCCUAUGUUUCCUCAAGAUCUAGAAAUAAUUAUUUUAUCGUUACGAUAUGAAGAGUCAGUAUAGACCACU
Molecule: long non-coding RNA, 1187 nt
Filed under: Pogona vitticeps (central bearded dragon)
Lineage: Eukaryota; Metazoa; Chordata; Lepidosauria; Squamata; Agamidae
Description: lncRNA (ENSPVIG00000008243.1)
Source: RNAcentral